CAGUAGCCGCGGUAAUACGAACCGUGCGAACGUUAUUCGGAAUCACUGGGCUUAAAGCGCGUGUAGGCGGAUGGGAACGUCGGUCGUUGAAAUCCCCCGGCUUAACCGGGGAAGUGGCGCCGAUACGACCCGUCUGGAGGAGCGUAGGGGGAGCUGGAACUUCCGGUGGAGCGGUGAAAUGCGUUGAGAUCGGAAGGAACGCCCGUGGCGAAAGCGAGCUCCUGGACGUUUUCUGACGCUGAGACGCGAAAGCCAGGGGAGCGAACGGGAUUAGAUACCCCGGUAGUCCCUGUCUCUUAUU
RNAcentral lists this ribosomal RNA (301 nucleotides) under uncultured bacterium. RNAcentral describes it as "partial 16S ribosomal RNA". It matches the Rfam family "Bacterial small subunit ribosomal RNA", at positions 509 to 807 of the family's 1533-position model. The record is from RNAcentral.